UUCUUUUGCUACUUCCAAUUCCUGUAUACAUUUCUGAUGGGAUAUAUCCUUUUCCUCAUUCAGAUCCUCACAUUCAUUCGUCAAAGUUCUUUCUAACAUGGAGACAUUACGAACUCUAUUCUCUUGUCUCAUACAGAUUUCCUCCACCAGGUUCAUCUGAAAACAUGAGUUGUCAUCUUUGGGAUGUGACAUAGCUUGGAAAACAUCAAAGUUCACCUCUUCAUCUUGCACCUGGACCUUAAGCUUCCCUUUUUCCACAUCAAUGACAAUUCUGGCGGUUUUCAUGAAAGGUUACCCCAGAAUUAGAGGUGCUUCUCCAUUUUCUUUCAUCUCCAUAACAACAAAAUCCACUAGAAACAAGAAUUUAUCAACCUUGACAAUCACAUCUUCAGCAAUUCCAAAAGGGUAUUUGAGGGAUUUAUCGCCUAAUUAGAGAACCAUUCUCGUUUGUUUGAGCUCUACCCCUUUUAACUUUUUAAGCAUAGUUAGAGGCAUCAAAUUUAUACUGGCUCCAAGAUCAAUCAAAGCUUUCCUAACCUCUAGCUCUCCAAUAACACAAGGAAUAGUGAAGCUUCCUGAAUCAGGUGAUUUAGGAGGUAAUGACCGUUGAAUGAUAGCACUGCAAUUUCCUUAUACCUCAAUUGUUUCUUUCUCAGCAUAUUUUCUCUUUUUCGUAAUAAUUUCUUUCAAAAACUUUGAAUAAGAUGGUAUUUGCUAGAUGGCUUCGGAGAAAGGAAUGGUUAUUUCCAAUUUCUUGAAAAUUUCCAUGAAACGAUCAAAUUGUCUUUGUUUCUCUUUUCUGGAAUAUAUUUUUGGGUAAGGUAGAGCUUUUUCAUACUCCUUCUCUUUGAACUUCUCAGCUUCUUCUUUCUUUUUCUCGCUCCACAGAUUUUUUUCUUCCCCUUCUUCCUUUUGAUUCUUUUCCUCUUUUAUACUUCCUUUAUCCUCAAUCUCUCUUUCUUUUACAAUUCUUCCACUUCUAGUAACAAUUUCGCAAGCUUCUUCCCUCCUACCAUUCUUCACGCAAUCAAUGGUACAAACAUUUUUCUUCAUAAUUCUCUAGAAUGUUUCCUCGGAUUCUGUACUUCUCUGAAUAGGGUUGAAAUGGAGCAUUUGUGGGGCCUGUGAAGUUUCUAUACAUGUCUGUGAUAACUUAGCAAGUCUUCUUGUCACUUCCUCCAACUGCUGUGUAAUCACGUUAUUUUGAAUCAUUGACAACUCCUAAAUAGAAUCAACCUGCGUGUCAUGUGCUUCUUCAUUGUCAGCCAUAAGUUCUAUCAAAUUAUAGGCUUCAUCUUCAGUCUUCCUAUUAAUAAUUUGAUGGGUGUCGCGCCCCAUACAAAUUUGAUUGCAUAUUAGGAAUGCAGUAUAGACUAGGAAGUGACUCCUAGGUCGUCUCUCAAGGACCAAACCGUGGUUCGAUCUUAGGUCUAACACAAAGUGGGGGAGGGGUUGAGACUGUUUUUGCAAAAACCUAAUUAAAUUCAAUUAAAACUAAAUUAAAUGCAACAACACAUUUCACCAUGCAUGAAAAUGAAAUUAAAACAGUGAAAACGAAACCGCUACAGUAAAUACGAAAAUUCACGCUGGAACUGGACAACUCUGACCUUUGCUCAAUGUUUUACCCAUAACGUUUUCUACAGAGCUCUAAAUGAGAUGAGGUUUUUUUUCCUGGAAAGUAGACUCAAUUAUCUUUCAUGUGAUAUAUAAAACGUAG
RNAcentral lists this long non-coding RNA (1717 nucleotides) under Vigna radiata. RNAcentral describes it as "long non-coding RNA (VRAD_LNC012930)". The record is from RNAcentral. Lineage: Eukaryota; Viridiplantae; Streptophyta; Magnoliopsida; Fabales; Fabaceae.